Engraulis encrasicolus (European anchovy) is the source of this 716-nucleotide long non-coding RNA. RefSeq lists it as uncharacterized. Lineage: Eukaryota; Metazoa; Chordata; Actinopteri; Clupeiformes; Engraulidae. The transcript has 3 exons. The record is from RefSeq and is a predicted model, not a curated record.
UGGGUGGGUGGGUGCAUAUUAGUGCAUUGGGUAUUUCUGAAUCUCAUUGAGUGUUGUUGUCUUCACAGGCCACCACAAUAAGUGUACACGUUCAGACAUAUGGUUCAUGGAUGCUGCCUGCCAGACAGACUGCAUUGCCACCUGGACUACAGCCACACCAGUUAUCCUUGAAGACAUUGCUGCCCCAGCCAUGGAGUAAAUAUGGCUCUCCUCUACAAUGAAAAUUCAAACGAACAACCGGCCCUAUGACUACCUGCAGGAGGUGUACCUUUCUUCAAAAUUGCCAAGACCAAGAAGGGAUAGUGCAUCAACCAUCAAAAGAUUAAGCCAACCUUUUGGUUAUGUUCAUGUUCGUGGAACUCAUUCUGGACAAGGUCUUUGGGAACCCUGCAAAGCAGACUGAGGCAAUGUUGGCGUUGGUGCAGUUCACAGACGAGCCAGCCAGAUAAAGAGGUCACAGCAAGCCUUGUGUUGAGGUUCAUGCGUACUGCAGUCUGAAUCCCCGGUGUAGUGUCCUUCGUCAUCAAGGAACUCAGCAUGGAUAUGCACGACAACACGGGAAUCACUGUUGGACUUGAAGCAGCUGGAAAAAAAGAAAAGACAGUUGCAGAGAUUGUUAUUGCCGUCAUUCUUUCACUACAAUAUUUGUCUUCAAUAAAUAUGUUCCUAUGGAAUACUCUUGAUGCUGUUGUAAAUAAAUGUUCACACUGCCUUUA